UACGUAGGGGCCUAGCGUUGUCCGGAAUUAUUGGGCGUAAAGAGCUCGUAGGCGGUUCGGCAAGUCGGAUGUGAAAUCUCCACGCUUAACGUGGAGGGGCCAUUCGAAACUGCUGUGACUCGAGUCCGGUAGGGGAGUGUGGAAUUCCCGGUGUAGCGGUGAAAUGCGUAGAUAUUGGGAGGAACACCGGUGGCGAAGGCGGCCCCCUGGACCGGUACUGACGCUGAGGCGCGAAAGCGUGGGUAGCAAACGGG
This 254-nucleotide ribosomal RNA is filed under the name uncultured bacterium. RNAcentral's name for it is "partial 16S ribosomal RNA". It matches the Rfam family "Bacterial small subunit ribosomal RNA", at positions 524 to 776 of the family's 1533-position model. The record is from RNAcentral.